UGGGGAAUAUUGCACAAUGGGCGCAAGCCUGAUGCAGCCAUGCCGCGUGUAUGAAGAAGGCCUUCGGGUUGUAAAGUACUUUCAGCGAGGAGGAAGGCAUUGUGGUUAAUAACCGCAGUGAUUGACGUUACUCGCAGAAGAAGCACCGGCUAACUCCGUGCCAGCAGCCGCGGUAAUACGGAGGGUGCAAGCGUUAAUCGGAAUUACUGGGCGUAAAGCGCACGCAGGCGGUCUGUCAAGUCGGAUGUGAAAUCCCCGGGCUCAACCUGGGAACUGCAUCCGAAACUGGCAGGCUAGAGUCUUGUAGAGGGGGGUAGAAUUCCAGGUGUAGCGGUGAAAUGCGUAGAGAUCUGGAGGAAUACCGGUGGCGAAGGCGGCCCCCUGGACAAAGACUGAUGCUCAGGUGCGAAAGCGUGGGGAGCAAACA
RNAcentral lists this ribosomal RNA (427 nucleotides) under uncultured bacterium. Its description in RNAcentral is "partial 16S ribosomal RNA". It matches the Rfam family "Bacterial small subunit ribosomal RNA", at positions 355 to 774 of the family's 1533-position model. The record is from RNAcentral.